ACGAACGCUGGCGGCGUGCCUAACACAUGCAAGUCGAGCGGAGAGAUUGUCGUAUUUAUAUGACAUGAUCUUAGCGGCGGACGGGUGAGUAACACGUGGGUAACCUGCCUCAAAGUGGGGGAUAGCCUUUCGAAAGGAAGAUUAAUACCGCAUAAGAUUGUAGCACUACAUGGUGCAGCAAGAAAAGGAGCAAUCCGCUUUGAGAUGGACCCGCGGCGCAUUAGCUAGUUGGUGAGGUAACGGCUCACCAAGGCCACGAUGCGUAGCCGACCUGAGAGGGUGAUCGGCCACAUUGGAACUGAGAUACGGUCCAGACUCCUACGGGAGGCAGCAGUGGGGAAUAUUGCACAAUGGGCGAAAGCCUGAUGCAGCAACGCCGCGUGAGUGAUGAAGGCUUUCGAGUCGUAAAGCUCUUUGAUCAGGGAUGAUAAUGACAGUACCUGAAAAACAAGCCACGGCUAACUACGUG
Molecule: ribosomal RNA, 469 nt
Filed under: uncultured bacterium
Lineage: Bacteria
Description: bacterial SSU rRNA
Rfam family: Bacterial small subunit ribosomal RNA
Source: RNAcentral